UUUUCGGAAUUGCUGGCUGCAUCAAGUUUCUCGAGUCUUACUACUUGAUUCUCGUUACUAAACGUAGACAGAUUGGUGCUAUAUGUGGCCAUGCAAUCUAUAACAUCAAGGAGAGCCAAUUGAUAACCAUUCCACAUGUUUCAAUCAAAUCUGAUUUAGCUCACUCUAAGACUGAGCUCAGCCCCUUCUGAGUUUCUGAAAUU
This 203-nucleotide small RNA is filed under the name Vigna angularis var. angularis. RNAcentral describes it as "Non-protein coding transcript". The record is from RNAcentral. Lineage: Eukaryota; Viridiplantae; Streptophyta; Magnoliopsida; Fabales; Fabaceae.